UGGCGGACGGGUGAGUAACGCGUUGGUGACCUGCCCCAAAGUGUGGGAUAACAGUCCGAAAGGAUUGCUAAUACCGCAUGUGGUCCCCGGAUUUAGAAACCGGUGACUAAAGCAGCAAUGCGCUUUGGGAGGGACCUGCGUCCCAUCAGCUAGUUGGUGAGGUAACGGCUCACCAAGGCGACGACGGGUAGGGGACCUGAGAGGGUGGCCCCCCACAAUGGAACUGAAACACGGUCCAUACACCUACGGGUGGCAGCAGUAGGGAAUAUUGCACAAUGGGCGAAAGCCUGAUGCAGCAACGCCGCGUGUGCGAUGAAGGCCUUCGGGUCGUAAAGCACUUUUCUGAGAGAUGAGCAAGGACAGUAUCUCAGGAAUAAGUCUCGGCUAACUACGUGCCAGCAGCCGCGGUAAU
Molecule: ribosomal RNA, 412 nt
Filed under: uncultured bacterium
Lineage: Bacteria
Description: bacterial SSU rRNA
Rfam family: Bacterial small subunit ribosomal RNA
Source: RNAcentral